GACGAACGCUGGCGGCGUGCCUAAUACAUGCAAGUUGAGCGCUGAAGGUUGGUACUUGUACCAACUGGAUGAGCAGCGAACGGGUGAGUAACGCGUGGGGAAUCUGCCUUUGAGCGGGGGACAACAUUUGGAAACGAAUGCUAAUACCGCAUAAAAACUUUAAACACAAGUUUUAAGUUUGAAAGAUGCAAUUGCAUCACUCAAAGAUGAUCCCGCGUUGUAUUAGCUAGUUGGUAAGGUAAAGGCUCACCAAGGCGAUGAUACAUAGCCGACCUGAGAAGGUGAUCGGCCACAUUGGGACUGAGACACGGCCCAAACUCCUACGGGAGGCAGCAGUAGGGAAUCUUCGGCAAUGGACGAAAGUCUGACCGAGCAACGCCGCGUGAGUGAAGAAGGUUUUCGGAUCGUAAAACUCUGUUGGUAGAGAAGAACGUUGGUGAGAGUGGAAAGCUCAUCAAGUGACGGUAACUACCCAGAAAGGGACGGCUAACUACGUG
RNAcentral lists this ribosomal RNA (497 nucleotides) under uncultured bacterium. RNAcentral describes it as "partial 16S ribosomal RNA". It matches the Rfam family "Bacterial small subunit ribosomal RNA", at positions 28 to 507 of the family's 1533-position model. The record is from RNAcentral.